AGUGAACGCUGGCGGUAGGCCUAACACAUGCAAGUCGAACGGCAGCACAGUAAGAGCUUGCUCUUACGGGUGGCGAGUGGCGGACGGGUGAGGAAUACAUCGGAAUCUACUUUUUCGUGGGGGAUAACGUAGGGAAACUUACGCUAAUACCGCAUACGACCUACGGGUGAAAGCAGGGGAUCUUCGGACCUUGCGCGAUUGAAUGAGCCGAUGUCGGAUUAGCUAGUUGGCGGGGUAAAGGCGCACCAAGGCGACGAUCCGUAGCUGGUCUGAGAGGAUGAUCAGCCACACUGGAACUGAGACACGGUCCAGACUCCUACGGGAGGCAGCAGUGGGGAAUAUUGGACAAUGGGCGCAAGCCUGAUCCAGCCAUACCGCGUGGGUGAAGAAGGCCUUCGGGUUGUAAAGCCCUUUUGUUGGGAAAGAAAAGCAGCAGGUUAAGACCCCGCUGUUCUGACGGUACCCAAAGAAUAAGCACCGGCUAACUUCGU
This 491-nucleotide ribosomal RNA is filed under the name uncultured bacterium. Its description in RNAcentral is "partial 16S ribosomal RNA". It matches the Rfam family "Bacterial small subunit ribosomal RNA", at positions 29 to 506 of the family's 1533-position model. The record is from RNAcentral.